This 65-nucleotide transfer RNA is filed under the name Dipodomys ordii (Ord's kangaroo rat). It matches the Rfam family "tRNA". From Rfam's summary of the family: Transfer RNA (tRNA) molecules are approximately 80 nucleotides in length. Their secondary structure includes four short double-helical elements and three loops (D, anti-codon, and T loops). The record is from Rfam by way of RNAcentral. Lineage: Eukaryota; Metazoa; Chordata; Mammalia; Rodentia; Heteromyidae.
GGUGGCUCAGGGGUAGAGUGCUUGCCUUGCAUGCAUGAGGCCCUGGGUUCGAUUCCUCAGUACCA